Piliocolobus tephrosceles (Ugandan red Colobus) is the source of this 2444-nucleotide long non-coding RNA. The record is from Ensembl. Lineage: Eukaryota; Metazoa; Chordata; Mammalia; Primates; Cercopithecidae.
UAAAUCAGCUAUACAUUCAGGUGUUAUAACAAAAAUGGGCGGAUUAAUACAAAUACAAAAACUCUCUAACAUAACACAAACAUUUAAUCAUACUAUGUUUAUCACUAGAAAUAACAUUAAAGCAAUCAUUGGUGACCAUAAAAAUAAAACUUCUUAUUAUAUUACAAAGCCUAAUGGUUUAACAUGUACUUUCCCUAUAACAAUUUAUAAUAAAAAUGAAACAUUACCGUUUGUAACUGAUGAAAGUGAUAAAACUGAUAAAAGUGAUGAUAACACACUCGGCUCUUUUAUCCAACUUGACUCAACAUUAUAUAACACUGCUUCUACCUCUCCUCCAGCUGUUUUAGUACAUGUAAAUCAUGCAGCGCUAAAAAACCAACUACAUAAUAUUUUUAAUUGGUAUGAUACAGCUAAUUAUAAAACUAAUUUUACACAAAUGGUAGGUAUGAAUCAUGAACGCCAUUCUCCAAACGCUGAAAACUUGAACAAUAGUCAUGCGCAAUCUGACUCAAACCAAACAACAAACAAAGAUCCCAAUUUAAUAAAUGAAUUUCGUAAUUUAUAUCAAAACUAUAAAAACAAUAACAAUAAAGUAUAUCAAAAUUCAAUACAAAAACAUGAAAGUAAUAUUAUACCAAAUAUACUCCCAAAAAAAAUGGAUAUAGCAUAUCAACAUAAUAUAUUACAAAAAAUAAAAACGGAACAAGAAAUGUUAGAUAGUUUUUUAAAAAAAAUGGAAGCAGAGAGUUUAGGGUUACUCAAACAAUUUGAUUUAAUCACUACUGAAAAAAAAUUUAUUAUUAACAGAUUAGAAAAUGCAUUAAGAAAUGUAAAACCAAUGACAAUUGAAACAUUUCAAGAAAAAUAUGAAUCAACAAAUAUUAAUGAUAAUUAUAUAAUUAUUGAUAGUGAUGAUAUAAUCAAAACAUCUAAUUGGAAAAUAGAAAAAUAUAAAAAUGGAUCAUUAUUUUCAUCAAUAACAAAUGAUCAUAUUAUACAAUCCAAUAAAAAUAUAUAUGCUUCAUAUAUAUUAAAUAGAGAGAUAAAAUUAUGGAAAGGUUUUAUAUCUUUAGAUGUACAAUUACCAUAUAAAGGAAAUUUUGGUAUUAUUUUUAUGUAUAAAGAUAGUAAUAAUUAUUCUAAUUUUAUAAUCAAUAAAGAAGAACAUUUUUUUAUAGAAAUAAAGGAUGGUAAAAAAAGUGAACCUAUCAAUAUAACUAAAAUUAAUACCUUAUCCAACCCAAUUGGAAAUUGGAUACAAAUCUUUCUUGUUUUCAGCUCAUCUGAUGUUUACGUAUAUGUAAAUAAAAAACUUGUAAAUAAAUAUAAAACAAAAAAUGAUACACCAGGCUUAAUAGGAUUAGGAAUAAAUCAUUGUAAAGAAAAAAUAUAUGUUGAUAAAUUUGUAAUAGGGUCUUUAGAUCAAGCAAAAUAUUACAAAUAUGCAAGUCCUUAUAAUUUAACUCCCGAAGUAAACUACAAUUUCGAAAAAAGUAACACAAUUAUCAAUGUUGAUAAAAUCAAACAACCGAAUCAGAUAAAAAAUGACGAAAAGGCGACAGAUGAUCAACCUACUACUGUCAAAUGUCAACCAUUUUACGAACUGUUUCAUGCCUUAUUACAUACCAACUGGAUUGAACCACCUAAUUCUACUUGGAAAAUCUAUAAUAGCUUUAGUCUGGCUUCUAUUUUUGAUAAAAGUAAAAAAUAUAACCGCAAAAACAUAAGAGAGACAAAAAAUACAAAAAACAACAAUGAAUUUGAUAAUAUAAACUGGCCAAAUAUGAAAAUACCUGCCACUACCAAAAAUAGUGAUAAUCAAAGCAACAAACAUAACAGCUACUUAUAUGGAAUACAAAAAACAAGUAAACAAAAUUUAUUAACACCUUCAAUUAUACUUUUAAAAAAACAAAAUAUAUGUUCUAACAUUUUAUCUUACAAAUUUAAUGUAUCAGUUAUGUUAAAAAACAAUUCUAAAGCUGGAAUUAUUUUUAGAGUUCUAUCAUCUGAUGAUUUUUUAUCCAUUAUAUUAGAUGUUAGUGAAGCGAUAGGUAAAUUAUAUCUUUUAAAAAUCUCAAAAGGUAUACCCUAUCAAUUAAUUACACCAACACAUUUACCCAUUGUUCAAAACUCUUGGUAUAACUUACAACUUAUGUUUAAUGGUUCAACAGUCCAAUUAAUAAUGAAUAAUGCAAAUAUUAUUAACUCCAGGUUUAAUGAGCAUGUAAAUGAUUUAGGUGAUAUUGGUCUUGUAGUGUUAAAUGGAGAAGCUGGUUUUGGUAAUAUAUCGUUUCUACCUAAUGAAGUUUCUACUUUGACAUAAUUUUUUUUUUUAAUUUUUGUUCUAUUUUUUGUCGUUUCUGUUUCAAUCUAAUUUUUUUGUUUUUAUUUUUGUUUGAUGUUUGUUUGAUGUUUGUUUGAUGUUUGUUUGAUGUUUGUUCGAU